RNAcentral lists this ribosomal RNA (933 nucleotides) under uncultured archaeon. RNAcentral describes it as "bacterial SSU rRNA". It matches the Rfam family "Archaeal small subunit ribosomal RNA", at positions 1 to 922 of the family's 1478-position model. The record is from RNAcentral.
UUCCGGUUGAUCCUGCCGGACCCGACUGCUAUUUGGGUGAGGAUAAGCCAUGCGAGUUGAAUGGGAAACCUAAAAAUCCCAUGGCAAACUGCUCAGUAACACAUGAUCAACUUACCCUAUAGAGGAAAAUAACCUCGGGAAACUGAGGAUAAUGUUCCAUAGUUGAAUCGGCUUGGAAAAGUUUUUCAAUAAAAGGGAUAAGGAAAAUGGUCCUUAUCUGCUAUAGGAUAGGAUCGUGCUCGAUUAUGGUUGUUGGUGAGGUAAAGGCUCACCAAGCCGAUAAUCGAUAGGGGCCGUGAGAGCGGGAGCCCCGAGAUGGGUACUGAGACAACGACCCAGGCCUUACGAGGCGCAGCAGGCGCGAAACCUCCGCAAUACACGAAAGUGUGACGGGGUUACCCAAAGUGUUCAUUAGAACUGUGGUAGGUGAGUAAUGUUCCCUACUAGAAAGGAGAGGGCAAGGCUGGUGCCAGCCGCCGCGGUAAAACCAGCUCUUCAAGUGGUCGGGAUAAUUAUUGGGCUUAAAGUGUCCGUAGCCGGUUUAGCAAGUUCCUGGUAAAAUCGGGUAGCUUAACUAUCUAUAUGCUAGGAAUACUGCUAUACUAGAGGGCGGGAGAGGUCUGAGGUACUACAGGGGUAGGGGUGAAAUCUUAUAAUCCUUGUAGGACCACCAGUGGCGAAGGCGUCAGACUGGAACGCGCCUGACGGUGAGGGACGAAAGCCAGGGGAGCGAACCGGAUUAGAUACCCGGGUAGUCCUGGCCGUAAACGAUGCAUACUAGGUGAUGGCACGGCCAUGAGCCGUGUCAGUGCCGUAGGGAAACCGUUAAGUGUGCCGCCUGGGAAGUACGGUCGCAAGGCUAAAACUUAAAGGAAUUGGCGGGGGAGCACCACAAGGGGUGAAGCCUGCGGUUCAAUUGGAUUCAACGCCGGA